Equus caballus (horse) is the source of this 1898-nucleotide long non-coding RNA. NCBI's taxonomy places the organism in Eukaryota, Metazoa, Chordata, Mammalia, Perissodactyla, Equidae. The record is from Ensembl.
UCUAGAUUCAAUUUCUCUCGCUCCCCAAGGCAAGGAACGACUCCUCUCUGUAUCCAUGACAUCCAGAGACAGCAGGAUUAGACUCAAGGUGAAGUUGGCCCCACCUGGCUGAUCCCAAGGAGCGGCUGGUCCCCUAUCACUUCUCCAACCCUCAGCCUGGAUGUAGGAGGAGGCUGGCCUCCGUGUUGGUGAGAGCUGCCCAGUGGGGUUUUCCUCUGCAGAAGGAAAAGUGCUCUGUCUGCCCAGAAUGCCUGCCUCACACUCAUCGUCUGCCAGAUACCCAGCCUUUCCUCCUGGAACCGUGUCCGGAAAUCGUAGCGAUGACCUGAGCUGAGUGCAGAUGAGCGGCUGAGAACUCUAUGUACUCUCACAUGACCACAGAACUGCCCGACACCAGCAUGCUGGGGCCUUGCUUUACCUUGACGAGGUGCGACAGAAGAAGUCUGUCUUGGAUCCCAGCCAGGCACUUUGAAAAACCAGAAGGAUCUCAUUACAAUGAAGUUACAACCUAUGAGAUGGCACCAUAGCAGGGACGCCCCCCCCUCCAAAAGAAGAUUAACCAGAUAAGUGAGGAAAGAAUAACAUGAUUCUGCCUUUAAGUCACAUCAACCCAGGACAAAGAAAUGAAAUGUCCCCCUACCCAGCCAUGAUGGAGUCUAACAUGCUGUGGAAAUGAACGAUCACGGUUUACCUUGUGAGUUAUUGUUUUGUCACUUGUCCUACACCAUGUGCUAUGUUACAAGCUCCUUGCAAACAGCGUGCAUCUUAUCCAUCUGUGUCCACUUGCAGUGUCCCCUCUGCCCAGAAAUGUGGCUGGUGCUGCUCACGGCACACUCACAACACAGCAGGUGGGGAGAACCAGGGACCAGACUUGAACCUCUCUUCACAACUGGAAUGUUAGCCCCAGGUUUCCAUAGGGAAUAAAACUUUUACUCCCCAAGACAUAAUAGUUUGAGAGGAAUGCUUCCAGCCCUUUCCCCAUGCUCCUUCUCUGGAACCACUUUCCUGACUGCUGAGGGUGAGGAGCCUUUGGGCAGAGUGACUCUGAGCCUCCUGGGUUUCUCCCUUAAAAGGGGUUCUCAGGCAUGCAUUCUUUCUCUGCUAGGGGCCAAAUGUGGGCUCAGGCAUUUGUUGCCUGGCGUAGCCUCCAGACUGGCCCCACAGCUCCUGCGUCCUGGAAUUCACGUCUUCUAGGUACCAUCUUCCCAUAUGGAACAAAGCUGACAUGUGUGACCAAUAGGAGAGGGCAGGAGUGAUGUUGUGUGGCUUCUGAGCCCAGGUCACAGAAGACAUUGCAGCUUCUGCCUUAGUCUCUGGGAUGACUCAUUCUGGGGGACGCCAGCUGCCAUUUCACAAGGACACUAGUCCUGGGCUCAGUUGCAUCCCCCUCCCAAUUAACAUGUUGAAAUUCUAACCCCCAGCACCUCAUAAUGUGACUGGAUUUGGAGACAGGGUCUUUAAAAAGAUAAUUAAGGUAAAAUGAGGUCAUCAGGGGGGCCCUGAGCCAAUGCGACUGGUGUCCUUAUGAAAAGAGGAGAUAAGGACACAGCUGCACAGAGGGAAGAUCAUGUGAAGACACAGAGAGCAGAUGCCAUCUACAGCCAAGGAGAGACACCUCAGAAGAAACUAAUCCUGUGGACACAUUGAUCUCAGACUUCUGGCUUCCAGAAUUAUGAGAAAAUUAAUUUUUGGUUAAGUCCCCAGUCUUUGGUACUUUGUUUUGGCAGCCUGAGCUAACUAAUGCAACACUCAAGCAGCCCUGUGAGAGGUCCACGUGGAGAGGCACCAACUGUGAGUCCUGUGCGUGAGCCACCUUGAGAGCAGAUCCUCCUGCCUCAGUCAAGCCUUCAGAUGAUUCCAGCCUCCCAGCCUUAAAUCUCCAGCUGAGGCUCAGACGC